RNAcentral lists this unclassified non-coding RNA (347 nucleotides) under soil metagenome. RNAcentral describes it as "partial contains 5.8S ribosomal RNA, internal transcribed spacer 2, and large subunit ribosomal RNA". The stretch from base 1 to 120 matches the Rfam family "5.8S ribosomal RNA", at positions 35 to 154 of the family's 154-position model. The record is from RNAcentral.
GAUGAAGAACGUAGCGAAAUGCGAUAACUAAUGUGAAUUGCAGAAUUCCGUGAAUCAUCGAGUCUUUGAACGCACAUUGCGCCCCCUGGUAUUCCGGGGGGCAUGCCUGUCCGAGCGUCAUUGCUGCCCAUCAAGCACGGCUUGUGUGUUGGGUCCCGUCCCCCUCUCCCGGGGGACGGACCCGAAAGGCAGCGGCGGCACCGCGUCCGGUCCUCGAGCGUAUGGGGCUUUGUCACCCGCUCUUGUAGGCCUGGCCGGCGCUUGCCGACACCCAACCAUUUUUUUCAGGUUGACCUCGGAUCAGGUAGGGAUACCCGCUGAACUUAAGCAUAUCAAUAAGCGGAGGA